CGUAACGCGUAUGCAACCUACCCUGUACUGGAGGAUAGCCCGGAGAAAUCCGGAUUAAGACUCCAUAGUAAUUAUUAGCCGCAUGGUUUGAUAAUUUAAAGGUUACGGUACAGGAUGGGCAUGCGUCCCAUUAGCUAGAUGGUAAGGUAACGGCUUACCAUGGCAACGAUGGGUAGGGGGCCUGAGAGGGUGAUCCCCCACACUGGUACUGAGACACGGACCAGACUCC
RNAcentral lists this ribosomal RNA (229 nucleotides) under uncultured bacterium. RNAcentral's name for it is "partial 16S ribosomal RNA". It matches the Rfam family "Bacterial small subunit ribosomal RNA", at positions 109 to 339 of the family's 1533-position model. The record is from RNAcentral.